This 584-nucleotide long non-coding RNA is filed under the name Parus major (Great Tit). RNAcentral's name for it is "lncRNA (ENSPMJG00000017296.1)". Lineage: Eukaryota; Metazoa; Chordata; Aves; Passeriformes; Paridae. The record is from RNAcentral.
UGCGAGUCUGAGAUUUGAAAGCAUCCCACUCUUGAAUUAUGAUUAUUUAUUGUCUUUACAGUGCCUAAAGGCCCAGCCUCGUUGUGCUGAGGACUCUGCAGACAAAAUGAAGGCACAGCCCCUGCCUUGAAGCACACCGUGACUGCUGCCUUGACAUUGUGCCGAGCUGACAUCCCAACCGGUCUGACACUGAUGCCUUUGGGCAGAAAUCAGAGCCGGUUUGCUCCAUGGCUCGGUGCAGCCACGACGCCUGUAGCGCCUCGCAGAGCCCCCAGUGCCCUGCUGGGGAAAUGGAGCGAGCACGUGGGCCCCAGAUGAACUCCGCAGGCACAGCAGCUCCUUGACUUCAGCUAAUUGCCAUGUUCCCUCGAAGGAGGAGUGAUGCCUCACCCAAGUUUCUCUGCUAUGGAUGUGAGGAGCUGAUCUCGGAGUUAUUCAGUGGUUUCUUACAUCAUUCCUGUGUUCCCAGCCGUGCCACAAGGCUUUCAGAAGGAAAGUUCCUCUGUCUGGUUCAGUGCCUGGUCACAGUGAGUUUUCCUGGCACAAGCGAGUGGAAAGAGCACUUUGGCAUGGAGAGGAAAUGA